Molecule: non-coding RNA, 45 nt
Filed under: Schistosoma mansoni
Lineage: Eukaryota; Metazoa; Platyhelminthes; Trematoda; Strigeidida; Schistosomatidae
Source: RNAcentral
AUCCAGCUGACGAGUCCCAAAUAGGACGAAAUGCGCGACAUGGAU